This 468-nucleotide ribosomal RNA is filed under the name uncultured bacterium. Its description in RNAcentral is "partial 16S ribosomal RNA". It matches the Rfam family "Bacterial small subunit ribosomal RNA", at positions 28 to 507 of the family's 1533-position model. The record is from RNAcentral.
GACGAACGCUGGCGGCGUGCUUAACACAUGCAAGUCGAACGGAAAGGCCCUGCUUUUGUGGGGUGCUCGAGUGGCGAACGGGUGAGUAACACGUGAGUAACCUGCCCUUGACUUUGGGAUAACUUCAGGAAACUGGGGCUAAUACCGGAUAGGAGCUCCUGCUGCAUGGUGGGGGUUGGAAAGUUUCGGCGGCUGGGGAUGGACUCGCGGCUUAUCAGCUUGUUGGUGGGGUAGUGGCUUACCAAGGCUUUGACGGGUAGCCGGCCUGAGAGGGUGACCGGCCACAUUGGGACUGAGAUACGGCCCAGACUCCUACGGGAGGCAGCAGUGGGGAAUAUUGCACAAUGGGCGGAAGCCUGAUGCAGCAACGCCGCGUGCGGGAUGACGGCCUUCGGGUUGUAAACCGCUUUCGCCUGUGACGAAGCGUGAGUGACGGUAAUGGGUAAAGAAGCACCGGCUAACUAUGUG